This is a long non-coding RNA of Hevea brasiliensis (rubber tree), 314 nucleotides long. RefSeq lists it as uncharacterized. The transcript is spliced from 2 exons. The record is from RefSeq and is a predicted model, not a curated record. NCBI's taxonomy places the organism in Eukaryota, Viridiplantae, Streptophyta, Magnoliopsida, Malpighiales, Euphorbiaceae.
UGGGUAAAUAUAUCAGUUAUCGACUUGAGUGAACUCUAGAGCAUUUGCAUCUGGAUCUCGUGUAAAGAUUGCAGGCCUCCCAGACCGGCUAAGUGUGUAGGGAAUUCCUGCAAACAUUAAAAGAUUCAGCAUUCCAUAAUGAUAACUGGGGAUGGGAAGAGAACAGUGUACCAGCUUUAUCAAGGAUUGCCUUCAACUUGGACACAUCGCGAAUAGCAAUGCAAGUAUGUCUGUCUCGGCCACCAUGUUGAGGUCGUCCAGUUAAGGGGUCAGGAUUUGGAAGCUCCAUUAAGUGGAUCAUUUCAGAACCCACC